AACGAACGCUGGCGGCAUGCCUAACACAUGCAAGUCGAACGAGACCUUCGGGUCUAGUGGCGCACGGGUGCGUAACGCGUGGGAAUCUGCCCUUUGCUUCGGAAUAACAGUUAGAAAUGACUGCUAAAUACCGGAUGAUGUCUUCGGACCAAAGAUUUAUCGGCAAAGGAUGAGCCGCGUAGGAUUAGGUAGUUGGUGGGGUAAAGGCCUACCAAGCCGACGAUCCUUAGCUGGUCUGAGAGGAUGAUCAGCCACACUGGGACUGAGACACGGCCCAGACUCCUAACGGGAGGCAGCAGUGGGGAAUAUUGGACAA
Molecule: ribosomal RNA, 316 nt
Filed under: uncultured bacterium
Lineage: Bacteria
Description: bacterial SSU rRNA
Rfam family: Bacterial small subunit ribosomal RNA
Source: RNAcentral